Long non-coding RNA from Ricinus communis (castor bean), 727 nucleotides. RefSeq lists it as uncharacterized. The record is from RefSeq and is a predicted model, not a curated record. The transcript has 3 exons. NCBI's taxonomy places the organism in Eukaryota, Viridiplantae, Streptophyta, Magnoliopsida, Malpighiales, Euphorbiaceae.
GCAUUUAUUUUUAUAACAUGCAUAUUAUAUAGAUAUGAGAAAUGCAUGAGAUAUAUAUGGUAUUAGUGCUAAUGUUAAAUAGAAGAAUAUUAUAAAUGUUACAAUUAUACCAUAAUAAGAAUUAGAAAGUUAAGGGAUUGAGUUGAUUAAUGGCAAAAAAAUUAAGGGGUUAAUUGAACCUAAAAAAAAAAUAUUAUUAAUAUGAUAGAAAAGGGGAAGAAGAAAGAAAAGGUGGUAGUUCUUCUUCCUUCUUCUUCCUUCUUCUUUCUUUCUUUCUUUCUUCUUCUUCUUCUUCUUCUUCAAAAAAGAGAAAAAUGAAUUUUCAAGUGGAAUUUGGAGGUUUAGAAUCCAUUUUUGAUCUUAAUCUUCAUCUACAAAGGCUUUAGAGGUUUAUUUGCUAAACGAAUUUGGAAUGAGGGUGACACCCAAGUAAGCUCAAGCAAAGGGAAGGGAGCAACAAAGGAUUAGAAGAAUUAUAAUUGGUUUUGACGAAACAUUUGCAUCUGUCGCACUAGCAUUGUGUCAGGUAGGUCAGCAGGAGGUCGCCCUUUUUCUUUCUUGGACGUGGCAUGUCAAGUGGAUUUCAUUAUCAUGUAUAAAUCUGGAGCAUUUUAUGUGUAUAUAAAAAAAAAGUGUACUAUUGAUGUUGUGAGCUUUUUGGUGUGUGAUAUAUAUGACUCAUACAAAUAGUUUUUGUUAUACAUAAUAAUUUGUGAGUUAAAAAUUA